This 478-nucleotide ribosomal RNA is filed under the name uncultured bacterium. RNAcentral's name for it is "partial 16S ribosomal RNA". It matches the Rfam family "Bacterial small subunit ribosomal RNA", at positions 28 to 523 of the family's 1533-position model. The record is from RNAcentral.
GACGAACGCUGGCGGCGUGCUUAACACAUGCAAGUCGAACGGUAAGGCCCUUCGGGGUACACGAGUGGCGAACGGGUGAGUAACACGUGGGUGAUCUGCCCUGCACUUCGGGAUAAGCCUGGGAAACUGGGUCUAAUACCGGAUAGGACCACUGCCUGCAUGGGUGGUGGUGGAAAGCUUUUGCGGUGUGGGAUGGGCCCGCGGCCUAUCAGCUUGUUGGUGGGGUGAUGGCCUACCAAGGCGACGACGGGUAGCCGGCCUGGGAGGGUGACCGGCCAGACUGGGACUGGGAUACGGCCCAGACUCCUACGGGAGGCAGCAGUGGGGAAUAUUGCACAAUGGGCGCAAGCCUGAUGCAGCGACGCCGCGUGAGGGAUGACGGCCUUCGGGUUGUAAACCUCUUUCAGCACCGACGAAGCGCAAGUGACGGUAGGUGCAGAAGAAGGACCGGCCAACUACGUGCCAGCAGCCGCCGUAA